Molecule: ribosomal RNA, 783 nt
Filed under: uncultured bacterium
Lineage: Bacteria
Description: bacterial SSU rRNA
Rfam family: Bacterial small subunit ribosomal RNA
Source: RNAcentral
GUUUGAUCCUGGCUCAGGAUGAACGCUAGCGGGAGGCCUAACACAUGCAAGCCGAGCGGUAUUUAUUCUUCGGAAUAGAGAGAGCGGCGUACGGGUGCGUAACACGUGUGCAACCUGCCUUUAUCUGGGAGAUAGCCCUCCGAAAGGGGGAUUAAUAUUCCAUAAUAUAUUAAUUGGCAUCAAUUGAUAUUGAAAGCUCCGGCGGAUAGAGAUGGGCACGCGCAAGAUUAGAUAGUUGGUGAGGUAACGGCUCACCAAGUCUGCGAUCUUUAGGGGGCCUGAGAGGGUGAUCCCCCACACUGGUACUGAGACACGGACCAGACUCCUACGGGAGGCAGCAGUGAGGAAUAUUGGACAAUGGGUGCAAGCCUGAUCCAGCCAUCCCGCGUGAAGGAUUAAGGUCCUAUGGAUUGUAAACUUCUUUUAUACAGGGAUAAACCUCUCCUCGUGAGGAGAGCUGAAGGUACUGUAUGAAUAAGCACCGGCUAACUCCGUGCCAGCAGCCGCGGUAAUACGGAGGGUGCAAGCGUUAUCCGGAUUUAUUGGGUUUAUAAGGGUCCGUAGGCGGGCCGAUAAGACAUUGGGAAAUCUCGCAGCUUAACUGUGAAAACUGCCAUUGAUACUGUUGGUCUUGAGUAAAUUUGAAGUGGCUGGAAUUAGUAGUGUAGCGGCUGAAAUGCAUAGAUAUUACUUUAAACACCUAUUGCGAAGGCGUCACUAAGAUUUUAACUGACGCUGAUGGACGAAAGCCGUGGGUAGCGAACAAGAUUUAAUACCCUGGUA